AUGUCUGAAGAAGAGGCUAAGCUCAUCGGGUCCUUCGGCAGCCCGGCCGUGCACCGCGUCGAGGUGGCCCUGCGGCUCAAGGGCGUCCCCUACGAGUUCAUCCAGGAGGACCUCAACAGCAAGAGCGACCUGCUGCAGGAGCACAACCCCGUCCACCACAAGGUGCCGGUGCUCCUCCACGGCGGCCGCCGGCCGGCCCUCUGCGAGUCGCUCGUCAUCGUCGAGUACGUGGACGAGGCCUUCCCCCGUGGCCCCGCGCUCCUGCCGGCCGACCCACUCGACCGCGCCGCCGCCCGCUUCUGGGCCCGCUUCAUCGACGACAAGUGCGGGGUGUGCACGUGGGUGGCGCUGUGGGGGGAGGGCGAGGCGCGGGAGGCGGCGGCGAGGGAGACGAAGCGGAACCUGACGCUCCUGGAGGCGCAGCUCGGCGGGAGGAGGUUCUUCGGCGGCGACCGCGUCGGCUUCCUCGACAUCGCCGCCAGCGGGCUCGCGCACUGGCUGGGGGUGUUCGAGGAGAUGGCCGGGGUGACCCUGCUCACCGAGGAGGAGCACCCGGCGCUGUGCCGGUGGGCGAGGGAGUACGUCGCGGACGAGGCCGUGCGGGGGUGCCUGCGUGACAGGGGCGCGCUGCUCGCCGCGCUGGCUGCCAGGAAGGACAGGUACGUGUCCACCGCCAAGGCAAUGGCGCGCAAGUAG
RNAcentral lists this ribosomal RNA (696 nucleotides) under Triticum aestivum (bread wheat). RNAcentral's name for it is "partial small subunit ribosomal RNA". The record is from RNAcentral. Lineage: Eukaryota; Viridiplantae; Streptophyta; Magnoliopsida; Poales; Poaceae.